AGAGUUUGAUCAUGGCUCAGGAUGAACGCUGGCGGCGUGCUUAACACAUGCAAGUCGAGCGAAGCGUUUCUGCGGAAUUUUUCGGAAGGAAGCGGGAAUGACUUAGCGGCGGACGGGUGAGUAACGCGUGGGCAACCUGCCUCGUACAGGGGGAUAACAGUUAGAAAUGACUGCUAAAACCGCAUAAGCGCACAGCAGCGCAUGCUGCAGUGUGAAAAACUCCGGCGGUACGGGAUGGGCCCGCGUCUGAUUAGCUUGUUGGCGGGGUAACGGCCCACCAAGGCAGCGAUCAGUAGCCGAUCUGAGAGGAUGGCCGGCCACAUUGGGACUGAGACACGGCCCAAACUCCUACGGGAGGCAGCAGUGGGGAAUAUUGCACAAUGGGGGAAACCCUGAUGCAGCAACGCCGCGUGAGUGAAGAAGUAUUUCGGUAUGUAAAGCUCUAUCAGCAGGGAAGAGAAUGACGGUACCUGACUAAGAAGCCCCGGCUAACUACGUGCC
Molecule: ribosomal RNA, 501 nt
Filed under: uncultured bacterium
Lineage: Bacteria
Description: bacterial SSU rRNA
Rfam family: Bacterial small subunit ribosomal RNA
Source: RNAcentral